Molecule: transfer RNA, 76 nt
Filed under: Thermoplasmata archaeon
Lineage: Archaea; Methanobacteriati; Thermoplasmatota; Thermoplasmata
Description: tRNA-Met
Rfam family: tRNA
About the family: Transfer RNA (tRNA) molecules are approximately 80 nucleotides in length. Their secondary structure includes four short double-helical elements and three loops (D, anti-codon, and T loops).
Source: RNAcentral
GCCGGGGUGGCUCAGCUGGUAGAGCGUCGGACUCAUAGUUAUCCGAAGGCCCCGGGUUCGAUCCCCGGCCCCGGCA